Molecule: ribosomal RNA, 744 nt
Filed under: uncultured Lactarius
Lineage: Eukaryota; Fungi; Basidiomycota; Agaricomycetes; Russulales; Russulaceae
Description: eukaryotic LSU rRNA
Rfam family: 5.8S ribosomal RNA (bases 246-399)
Source: RNAcentral
UCCGUAGGUGAACCUGCGGAAGGAUCAUUAUCGUAACAAAAUGUGAGGGGCAUGUGAGGGCUGUCGCUGACUCAAUGUCGUGCACGCCCGAGCGUGUCCUCUCACAUAAUAAUCCAUCUCACCCUUUGUGCAUCGCCGCGUGGGCACCCUUUGGGAUCAUCUCGGAGGGGGCUCGCGUUUUCACACAAACCCCCCUUUUAAAAGUGUAGAAUGACCUCAUUUAUGCGCUAACCCGCAAUCAAUACAACUUUCAACAACGGAUCUCUUGGCUCUCGCAUCGAUGAAGAACGCAGCGAAAUGCGAUACGUAAUGUGAAUUGCAGAAUUCAGUGAAUCAUCGAAUCUUUGAACGCACCUUGCGCCCCUUGGUAUUCCGAGGGGCACACCCGUUUGAGUGUCGUGAAAACCUCAACCUCCUUGGUUUCUUCUGGAGACCAAAGCAGGCUUGGACUUUGGAGGCCUUUGCUGGCACCUCUCUCUUUUGAAGGUCAGCUCCUCUUAAAUGAAUUAGCAGGGUCCUCUUUGCUGAUCCUCGACGUGUGAUAAGAUGUUUCCAUGUCUUGGUUUCUGGCUCUGUCACUCUUGGGACCCGCUUCUAACCGUCUUGACCUUGCGUCGAGACAAUGUUCGAGCAUGUCUCCCAUCUCGGGAAGCUCCCUCGACCCCACGAACCCUUGACCUCAAAUCGGGUGAGACUACCCGCUGAACUUAAGCAUAUCAAUAAGCGGAGGAAAAGAAACCAACC